UUGGAGGGCAAGUCUGGUGCCAGCAGCCGCGGUAAUUCCAGCUCCAAUAGCGUAUAUUAAACUUGUCGCAGUUAAAAAGCUCGUAGUUGAACUUCAGACCUGGCCGGGCGGUCCGCCGCAAGGUGUGUACUGUCUGGCUGGGCCUUACCUCUUGGUGAGCCGGCAUGUCCUUUACUGGGUGUGUCGGGGAACCAGGACUUUUACCUUGAGAAAAUUAGAGUGUUCAAAGCAGGCCUAUGCCUGAAUACGUUAGCAUGGAAUAAUGAAAUAGGACGUGCGGUUCUAUUUUGUUGGUUUCUAGGAUUGACGUAAUGAUUAAUAGGGAUAGUUGGGGGCAUUAGUAUUCAAUUGUCAGAGGUGAAAUUCUUGGAUUUAUUGAAGACUAACUACUGCGAAAGCAUUUGCCAAGGAUGUUUUCAUUAAUCAAGAACGAAAGUUAGGGGAUCGAAGACGAUCAGAUACCGUCGUAGUCUUAACCAUAAACUAUGCCGACUAGGGAUCGGAUGAUGUUAAUUUUUUAAUGACUCAUUCGGCGCCUUACGGGAAACCAAAGUGUUUGGGUUC
This 564-nucleotide ribosomal RNA is filed under the name uncultured Glomeromycotina. Its description in RNAcentral is "bacterial SSU rRNA". It matches the Rfam family "Eukaryotic small subunit ribosomal RNA", at positions 548 to 1114 of the family's 1831-position model. The record is from RNAcentral. Lineage: Eukaryota; Fungi; Glomeromycota.